AAUCAGUUCAGCACUAAGUCACUUUGUCUUUAUGGCAAAUGUGAGAUGCAGUGUAUGGAAUGUCAAAUUUCUAGUAUGAGAAAUUAAUGAUUUAAGUCCUUCUUAAAUGAGGCCAUUUACCCAUAGAGGGUGCCAGGCCCGUAUAACGUUAAUGAUUACUAGAUGACAUUUCCAAAGAGUCGUGUUGCUUGAUAGUGCAGCACUAAGUGGGUGGUAAACUCCAUCUAAAACUAAAUAUAGCCAUGAGACCGAUAGUAAACAAGUACCGUGAGGGAAAGUUGAAAAGAACUCUGAAUAGAGAGUUAAAUAGUACGUGAAACUGCUUAGAGGUUAAGCCCGAUGAACCUGAAUAUUCUUUAUGGAAAAUUCACCACUAUGAUUAUAUAAUAUAUAACCAUUAAUAUUAUAAUAGUGUGCAUUUUUUUCAUUAAAGGACAUUGUGAUUUAUUAACUUUAAUUUUUAAUUUAUCAUACGAUCAUUUGCGUAAGUUUAACAAUAUGUAUCAAUUUGCUUGCAGUUUGAGAAUAUUGGAUAAAUGCUUUUGAUUUGAUAAAGUGUUGAUGGAUAUUGCGUAUGGUGCUUAAAUAUAUAUUUCAUUUAUAUAUUUAGUAAUAGCAUAUUAAUCAUUGAUUUUUAUGUUUAUUAUUUAUGCACUGUAUGAUCAACAAUGCGAAAGAUUCAGGAGACCUUCGGGACCCGUCUUGAAACACGGACCAAGGAGUCUAACAUAUUUGCAAGUUAUUGGGCAUAAAAAACCUAAUAGCGCAAUUAACAUGACUUUUAUAAUUAUUAUAAUAAUAAUAAUAAUAAUAAUAUAAUAAUUAUGGGAUUAGUUUUUAGCCACUAUUUUUAUUUUAUUUAAUUAUAAAUAUAUAAUUAUAGUCUAUUAAUUCAAUCCCGGGGCGUUCUAUUAGUUAUGUAUAAUAAUAUUAUAUUAUUUAUACCUCUAACUGGAGCGUACCAUGAGCAUAUAUGCUGUGAC
This 983-nucleotide ribosomal RNA is filed under the name Mesembrinella apollinaris. RNAcentral's name for it is "eukaryotic LSU rRNA". It matches the Rfam family "Eukaryotic large subunit ribosomal RNA", at positions 102 to 815 of the family's 3401-position model. Lineage: Eukaryota; Metazoa; Arthropoda; Insecta; Diptera; Calliphoridae. The record is from RNAcentral.